This 702-nucleotide ribosomal RNA is filed under the name uncultured bacterium. RNAcentral's name for it is "bacterial SSU rRNA". It matches the Rfam family "Bacterial small subunit ribosomal RNA", at positions 10 to 704 of the family's 1533-position model. The record is from RNAcentral.
AGUUUGAUCAUGGCUCAGAAUGAACGCUGGCGGCGCGCCUAAUACAUGCAAGUCGAGCGAGAAGACGUAGCAAUACGUUUGUAAAGCGGCGAACGGGUGAGGAAUACAUGGGUAACCUACCCUCGAGUGGGGAAUAACUAGCCGAAAGGUUAGCUAAUACCGCGUACGCUUCUUGGACUUCGGUUCAGGGAGGAAAGCGAUACCGUGGGUAUCGCGCUCUUGGAUGGGCUCAUGUCCUAUCAGCUUGUUGGUGAGGUAACGGCUCACCAAGGCUUCGACGGGUAGCUGGUCUGAGAGGACGAUCAGCCACACUGGCACUGCGACACGGGCCAGACUCCUACGGGAGGCAGCAGUAAGGAAUAUUGCGCAAUGGGCGAAAGCCUGACGCAGCGACGCCGCGUGGGGGAUGAAGGUCUUCGGAUUGUAAACCCCUUUCGGGAGGGAAGAUGGAAUGGGGUAACCCAUUCGGACGGUACCUCCAGAAGCAGCCACGGCUAACUUCGUGCCAGCAGCCGCGGUAAUACGAAGGUGGCAAGCGUUAUUCGGAUUUACUGGGCGUACAGGGAGCGUAGGCGGUUCGGUAAGCCCUCUGUGAAAUCUCCAGGCUUAACCUGGAAAAGUCGGGGGGGACUGCUGGGCUAGAGGACGGGAGAGGAGCGCGGAAUUCCCGGUGUAGCGGUGAAAUGCGUAGAGAUCGGGAGG